GACGAACGCUGGCGGCGUGCUUAACACAUGCAAGUCGAACGGAAAGGCCCUGCUUUUGGGGGGUGCUCGAGUGGCGAACGGGUGAGUAACACGUGAGUAACCUGCCCUUGACUUUGGGAUAACUUCAGGAAACUGGGGCUAAUACCGGAUAGGAGCUCCUGCUGCAUGGUGGGGGUUGGAAAGUUUCGGCGGUUGGGGAUGGACGCGCGGCUUAUCAGCUUGUUGGUGGGGUAGUGGCUUACCAAGGCUUUGACGGGUAGCCGGCCUGAGAGGGUGACCGGCCACAUUGGGACUGAGAUACGGCCCAGACUCCUACGGGAGGCAGAAGUGGGGAAUAUUGCACGAUGGGCGGAAGCCUGAUGCCGCAACGCCGCGUGCGGGAUGACGGCCUUCGGGUUGUAAACCGCUUUCGCCUGUGACGAAGCGUGAGUGACGGUAAUGUGUAAAGAAGCACCGGCUAACUACGUG
Molecule: ribosomal RNA, 468 nt
Filed under: uncultured bacterium
Lineage: Bacteria
Description: partial 16S ribosomal RNA
Rfam family: Bacterial small subunit ribosomal RNA
Source: RNAcentral